This 433-nucleotide ribosomal RNA is filed under the name uncultured bacterium. RNAcentral's name for it is "partial 16S ribosomal RNA". It matches the Rfam family "Bacterial small subunit ribosomal RNA", at positions 29 to 507 of the family's 1533-position model. The record is from RNAcentral.
AACGAACGCUGGCGGCAUGCCUAACACAUGCAAGUCGAACGAGACCUUCGGGUCUAGUGGCGCACGGGUGCGUAACGCGUGGGAACCUGCCCUUAGGUUCGGAAUAACUCCCCGAAAGGGGUGCUAAUACCGGAUAAUGUCUUCGGACCAAAGAUUUAUCGCCUUUGGAUGGGCCCGCGUUGGAUUAGCUAGUUGGUAGGGUAAAAGCCUACCAAGGCGACGAUCCAUAGCUGGUCUGAGAGGAUGAUCAGCCACACUGGGACUGAGACACGGCCCAGACUCCUACGGGAGGCAGCAGUGGGGAAUAUUGGACCGUGGGCGAAAGCCUGAUCCAGCAAUGACGCGUGAGUGAUGAAGGCCUUAGAGUUGUAAAGCUCUUUUACCCGGGAUGAUAAUGACAGUACCGGGAGAAUAAGCUCCGGCUAACUCCGUG